UACGGAGGGAGCUGGCGUUGUUCGGAAUUACUGGGCGUAAAGCGCACGUAGGCGGCUUUGUAAGUUAGAGGUGAAAGCCCGGGGCUCAACCCCGGAAUUGCCUUUAAGACUGCAUCGCUUGAAUCCAGGAGAGGUGAGUGGAAUUCCGAGUGUAGAGGUGAAAUUCGUAGAUAUUCGGAAGAACACCAGUGGCGAAGGCGGCUCACUGGACUGGUAUUGACGCUGAGGUGCGAAAGCGUGGGGGAGCAAACAGG
RNAcentral lists this ribosomal RNA (254 nucleotides) under uncultured bacterium. Its description in RNAcentral is "partial 16S ribosomal RNA". It matches the Rfam family "Bacterial small subunit ribosomal RNA", at positions 524 to 776 of the family's 1533-position model. The record is from RNAcentral.